CCUACGGGAGGCAGCAGUGGGGAAUAUUGGGCAAUGGGCGCAAGCCUGACCCAGCAAUGCCGCGUGAAGGAAGAAGGCUUUCGGGUUGUAAACUUCUUUGACAGGGGAAGAGCAGAAGACGGUACCCUGAAAACAAGCCACGGCUAACUACGUGCCAGCAGCCGCGGUAAUACGUAGGUGGCAAGCGUUGUCCGGAUUUACUGGGUGUAAAGGGCGUGUAGCCGGGAAGGGAAGUCAGAUGUGAAAUCCGGAGGCUCAACCUCCGAAUUGCAUUUGAAACUGUUAUUCUUGAGUACUGGAGAGGCAGGCGGAAUUGGUGGUGGAGCGGUGAAAUGAGUAGAUAUAACGAAGAACGACGAUGGCGAAGGCAGGCUGCUGGACUGUAAUGGAAGGGGAGGCUCGAAAGUGUGGGGAUCAAACAGGAUUAGAUACCCGAGUAGUC
RNAcentral lists this ribosomal RNA (442 nucleotides) under uncultured bacterium. RNAcentral describes it as "partial 16S ribosomal RNA". It matches the Rfam family "Bacterial small subunit ribosomal RNA", at positions 338 to 795 of the family's 1533-position model. The record is from RNAcentral.